This 381-nucleotide long non-coding RNA is filed under the name Coffea arabica (coffee). RNAcentral's name for it is "long non-coding RNA (CARA_LNC005995)". Lineage: Eukaryota; Viridiplantae; Streptophyta; Magnoliopsida; Gentianales; Rubiaceae. The record is from RNAcentral.
AAAGCAGUAGUUGGUUAAAACUACAUAUAACUUGUUCUCAUAAAUUGACAAGACUAGCUUUUGAUCUUCAGGGCUCUUGCCAUAGUGCUAGUAAAAUAGAGCAUACUCAGAAGCUGUUUGAUGAAAUGCCUAAGAAAAAUAAACCAGAAACACAGAUUAAUAGCAAUUAUAGCAUAGCCCAUAUUAAGUAAAAUCACCCGCAUACCUCAAUUUGUCCUUGAAGAUGAAGGCUGAUGAUGGCUAGCUAAUGAUGGCUUGAAGAUGAAGACUGUCGGGCUUGAAGAUGGCUAGCUUGAUGGCUUGAAGAUGAAGAAUGAGAGUGAGAGACAGUGAAGAUGAAAGCUGAGAAAGUAGGAAAGCUGCUCUUAGUUGAGCUCCUUC